UACAGAGGGGGCAAGCGUUGUUCGGAAUUACUGGGCGUAAAGGGCGCGUAGGUGGCCUUCUAAGUCAUGCGUGAAAUCCCCGGGCUCAACCCGGGAACUGCGUCUGAUACUGGAAGGCUUGAAUCCGGGAGAGGGAUGCGGAAUUCCAGGUGUAGCGGUGAAAUGCGUAGAUAUCUGGAGGAACACCGGUGGCGAAGGCGGCAUCCUGGACCGGUAUUGACACUGAGACGCGAAGGCGUGGGGAGCGAACGGG
This 253-nucleotide ribosomal RNA is filed under the name uncultured bacterium. RNAcentral's name for it is "partial 16S ribosomal RNA". It matches the Rfam family "Bacterial small subunit ribosomal RNA", at positions 524 to 776 of the family's 1533-position model. The record is from RNAcentral.